CUACGGGUUGCUCCAGGCGAGAAAACUUUGCAAUGUGCGAAAGCACGACAAGGUUAAUCCGAGUGGUUUGUGCUAAACGAACCUUUUGACAGUCUUAGAAACACUGUUGAAUAAGGGGUGGGCAAGUUCUGGUGUCAGCCGCCGCGGUAAAACCAGCACCUCAAGUGGUCAGGAUGAUUAUUGGGCCUAAAGCAUCCGUAGCCGGCUCUGUAAGUUUUCGGUUAAAUCUGUACGCUCAACGUACAGGCUGCCGGGAAUACUGCAGAGCUAGGGAGUGGGAGAGGUAGACGGUACUCGGUAGGAAGGGGUAAAAUCCUUUGAUCUAUUGAUGACCACCUGUGGCGAAGGCGGUCUACCAGAACACGUCCGACGGUGAGGGAUGAAAGCUGGGGGAGCAAACCGGAUUAGAUACCCGCGUAGUC
RNAcentral lists this ribosomal RNA (422 nucleotides) under uncultured archaeon. Its description in RNAcentral is "partial 16S ribosomal RNA". It matches the Rfam family "Archaeal small subunit ribosomal RNA", at positions 323 to 746 of the family's 1478-position model. The record is from RNAcentral.